Molecule: long non-coding RNA, 722 nt
Organism: Molossus molossus (Pallas's mastiff bat)
Lineage: Eukaryota; Metazoa; Chordata; Mammalia; Chiroptera; Molossidae
Exons: 3
Source: RefSeq, a predicted model, not a curated record
AAUGGAGAUACCACCACCAAACACACGGGACCGUUGAGAAGAGCAGAGGAGUUGAGAGAACAGUGUUGAGUAUGAGGCUUGGUCCUCACUGAGCAUUCCUGCCGUGUUUGCUGCUGAAGAUGAUGAUGGAGAUGGAGAUGACGCAGAGUCGGAGGCAGAACGGCCUUUCGUGUGAUGUGGCGUGAGAACAGUGGCCACCGAGGAGACCGUGAGAACAGAACCUACUUCUAGCACAAAAUGGACAUAGUGUCCACUGCAUGACUGGUGACACGUGUUCUUUGGUUCUUGCGGUUUAAUGUGUAGGACCCAUAAGGACAGUGUGAAAAUGUCUACUGCUCAUCUUCUCCACAUCAGCUUGCAACACAAUUUCGGGUGCGCCCCCCAGUGGCAGCCUGGAUAGUGUGUAGCAUAUGGACGUGGAAGUUAAGACUGGCCUGGUCUCGAGACUCGCUUGCUAGGUGUCUGAGACUGCAUGUCUCUUCAGUUUGAUUCGGCUUCGGUUUGCCCGUGUUUACUCUGAGGAUCAUAGUUUCUCUCGUGGAUACCAGGGCACAGAGGAGUUAACAGAAGUCAAGUGGCUGGCAGGUCCUGCAGCCCAGUCUGAGAAGCUGAGAUGAUUAUAAAAGCGGUGGGAUCACUAACCUUAGCUCUGGAGUCUUCAUUGUUGUACUUGUUACCCUCACUCGAGGACCCAUGGCUCCCUCCAGGUCCCAGCCUCCUCA